This is an RNA transcript of Panicum hallii, 1590 nucleotides long. RefSeq lists it as uncharacterized. NCBI's taxonomy places the organism in Eukaryota, Viridiplantae, Streptophyta, Magnoliopsida, Poales, Poaceae. The record is from RefSeq and is a predicted model, not a curated record. The transcript has 5 exons.
GACCUUCACAUUUGCAAUUUGAAUCAACAUAUGAAUUUCAUUAUUGUUUAAAAGGGGCCAAUUAUGUGAAAGUAUGAAGUAAUGUUUGACCAGAAAAUAUAAGAUAAUUGCAUGGUUAUACCUAUUGCUGCUACUGAUACUAUAUGUCUUUUUUUCUCUCGAACGUGCAGGAGAGCUGUGCAUCAAUAUAUUAAGAAGAAAAUGGGGAUAAAGAACCUCAGAAUGUUACAGAUAUAAAGGGCCUGUAACCCACCCUUCUUACUGAAUAGCUAACUUACUCUUAAGACCAAAAACAACAAGACUGGGAACACUAGACCGAAAGACCUAAGUGACUGUAGUUACUAGGGUGAGGAGGAGCUAUGUGGCCUAUAGUGCCACGAACCCCCGUCGUGACUGUGUUCCUCCCUAUGUCCACCAUCUUCGCCAACCCAAAAUCUCCUACAACUGCUUCACAGUUCCCAUCAAGCAGGACAUUGGCAGCCUUCACAUCACGGUGGAUGAUCUUGGGAUUACAGUGCUCAUGAAGGAUCGGUGCUUGACUGUUGCGUCACCGAAAGAAGCGUAUGAGAUGGGAGGACAGAAAUGCUCAGAGAAGAACUCUGAUACUAUCCUCAACUGGAAGCAAGAUGGAAUGAUACCUGAACAUGCCAAGGAUUUACUUCAGCAUAAGAUUAAGGUUAUUGAAAUUAUGUCUACAGUUAGAAGAACUAUGGUGCUGGUGGAAGCUUUCGCUUACCAAAGAAGGUAGUGUUUGCCUGUUUGGUAUUGUUUUGGGCAAGAACCAAAGCUACCGUACUUUUCAAAGAAAAAAGAAAGAACCAAAGCUACCUAUCCAUCCUGAAGUGUCUCUUCUUCCCAAGUAAACCUCCCGUUUUCCCCCACGCCACCAACAGCCAUUAUUCCACAAAAGGCAAGCAAGAGACACAGACUAUAAACCCUCAGAGGUCAGAAGCAGGAAACCAUUCUAAUGGAGAGCAAGCAAUCCAGUCAAGCAAACAGAUGCCCAAGGAAGACGAUGACAAGGACGACGACGACCAAGAAGUCAUACAGGCGGUACUUGUAUGUGAGCAUGCAAGGAAGGUAGGCAAGAACUUACCAAGAAGCAGGGGAGAACUGGAGGUGUGUCAAGCAAGUGGUGUGCUCCAAGCUUCUGAGAACUUUCUCUCUUUCUGCUGUCUCCCGGGAUGGUCGCUGGCUGAGCUUGGGAGAGGGGAGAAGAGCAGCUUCUCAGCACUGAGAGGAGCUGAGGAACAAGUGUGGAGCUAGUGGCUCCCGGACCAUUGAAUGGGUCAAAUAUAUCACAGCUCUCCCCCAUCCAGCAUCCAGACCCCACACGACUAUUGUGAGAUUGCACUCUGAAGAGUAACUACGUGGAUGCAACCGUGCCAGAGAUUUUCUUAAUACAGGUCAGAUUACUGGAGCAAGUGAAUGAGCUGCCUGGUAAAUAUAUUUCUUGAAUAAAAUUAGUGAUACUGUCAGUCUCACUGUACCUGCUGAUGCUGCUCCUGCUGAGCCAUUUAUUCCCUGAUAGUGAAACGACAAUGCGUGGAUGACAAAUCACAGGUCGUCAGUCCUCUGCUCUGCGUAUUU